UUGAAGACUGGGAUUAGGAGUACAUCGACUCUUAGAACUAUAAGGAUUUUAUAAAUCAGGUGGUAGAUAAAAUAAUCCAUAAUCCCUGCAGUGGAGGUUCUGUUGACUAGCCUAAGAGAGGGGGCACAGACUCAGAUAUACCUUACCUCGAUCGGAGAGCCGUGUGAAGGGUGUCUCUGGAGGCUCGGGGAAUUCCAUAGUUAGUUGACUUUGACAAGGACUUUCAUUUGGACUUGAAUUGGUAAAAGUUGUAAGUUUUCAGCUUCUGAUGCAUUUUGGUUAG
Non-coding RNA from Theobroma cacao (cacao), 283 nucleotides. Lineage: Eukaryota; Viridiplantae; Streptophyta; Magnoliopsida; Malvales; Malvaceae. The record is from RefSeq and is a predicted model, not a curated record.